GAGGAAAUGGCUCAGUAGUAGAGCUCAUGAUUAGUAAACAUGAAGCCCUGGGUUUAAUGCCCAGCUUCU
This 69-nucleotide transfer RNA is filed under the name Mesocricetus auratus (golden hamster). It matches the Rfam family "tRNA". From Rfam's summary of the family: Transfer RNA (tRNA) molecules are approximately 80 nucleotides in length. Their secondary structure includes four short double-helical elements and three loops (D, anti-codon, and T loops). The record is from Rfam by way of RNAcentral. Lineage: Eukaryota; Metazoa; Chordata; Mammalia; Rodentia; Cricetidae.